Long non-coding RNA from Vicia villosa (hairy vetch), 21713 nucleotides. RefSeq lists it as uncharacterized. The transcript is spliced from 3 exons. NCBI's taxonomy places the organism in Eukaryota, Viridiplantae, Streptophyta, Magnoliopsida, Fabales, Fabaceae. The record is from RefSeq and is a predicted model, not a curated record.
CUACAACUAAAUGAAUUGGGAAAAGUAAUAAUUUUUUAAUUCAAAACAACUUUUUGAGUUGAAAUAAUCGUGCCACCCAUUCCCCUAGACAACUCACUUCUGAAAUCAACAGUCUUCCAACGUUUCUCUCUCUCUCUCUCUCUCUCUCUCUCUCUCUCUUCAUAUUUUUCUUCCCAUUCCUCAUUCUUCGACUCAGCCUUCCACUUUCAUCUUCUUCCACCGUCAACUUUUGCUUCUUAGACAAAACACGCUGAAGAACAUGAAAGUUUCAUCAACAAGGUUACUCAUUUGUUGAAUGUUCUUGGCUUUGGUGGGUUUUGUUUCCUCUUAGGGGCAAGUUCGAUUUCAACUCCAAAUGAAACUUUUUGAAAAUUUACAUGAUUGUGAAACAUUUUUCACAAUUUUAUGCACUUUGGUUGUCUAUGAAAAUGCCUCAACAAGCUGCGAAGAAGAACACGUUUAUGAGACGGAGAAACUCACUAUAGCUCAACGAAAUAGAAUAUGUAAGAAGAAGAUGAAGGAAGAAUCCAUCCUUUGUGGAAAGUUAAUUGGCAUGUCGAUGCCUCCAUCCUAGUCAAAACAGGCUAGGGAUGAUGAUCCUCCACCUGUUCGAUAAAAUAAUUCUUAGAAAGGCUAUCUAACUAUGAAUCUGUUGGCUAUUUUUUUAAUGGCUAUUGAGGAUGUCCUAUUCUCUCUGACUGAUUUGAUUUAGGUGAUGAGACUAGCUGUGAUAACGCCAAGAGAGUGAAGCAGCGGAGGAUGGUGAAAAAAGGUUAUCAAAGAUACCCAUUGUAACACCCGGUAUUUAAUUAAUUAUUUAAUUAAAUACUUUCAAAUUAUUUCGAAUUUAAUUAUUGAAUUUGUGGAGUGUUGAGAAUUGUUGACAUGGGUUUUAUGAUUAAUUAGUUGAUUAAUUAAUUGAUUAAGUUGUAGAAAUAGUAUUGAAGAAAUACUAAAUUUACUAUAUGGACUUAAUUAAGUGAUGGUGGUAGUAAAACGUGGGGUGUGAAUGUUAGGCCCAAUAGGUUUAAUGAAAUUAAGUUAAGAUAAGGAUUAGGCUAAUUAGAAGAGAAAAAGUCUUGGGGAAUUGGUCAUGGGAAGUUGUAGAGAAGAGAGAAAAUAGGAGAGAAAUUCAUUCCCGUUUUUCUUGCAGCAGUCUCACUAAAUCGAAGAUCCCCGAUUCGUUAACCGUUGGAUCGUCGCCACAUUUUGUGGGUAGGUUCGAAACACCUAUAGCUAACUUUUGACCGUUGGGAUCUUCAAAAUAAGGUCUGAGUUGUGAGAUAUGAUCAUCGCACUGUAGCUGCAUAUUUGGGAAAAUUUUCAGCUUUUGAUUCUGAUUAAAAGAGGCAAUGGUUGGGAGCUAAGGCUAGAUGGCUUCGAUCGGUAGAAUUGUAGAACGGACUCCGAAUACAAGGUAAGGGGUGGGGUUCUAACUCUAUAACCGGACUCAUGAUGAAUGAUAUGUGGGGGUUAAAUUCGUAGGAAAUUAUACCUGAUUAUUUGUUGUGAUUCUGUCGUGUUGAUUCGAUGAAAUUAGUUGUUGUUGUGGUGAUAAUUGUUGUUGUUUUAUGCGAAGUUGAAGGAUGUUUCAGUGACGAUGUAUACCUCUAUUUAUUAGUAUAGCGACGAUAUAGGCUUAUGCCUUGUGACGAUGAUGUUGUUUGUUGUGUGUGUUUGUUGCAUUCAUAUACAUAUUCAUUUUUGGCGACGGCCUGGAUUGGCAAAUUAGUGACGAAGGCUUAUGCCUUGAUGCCUCUGUUUAACUGGCAAUUGGCGAUGGGGGCUGAAGCCCUGGGUACCACAUGCAUGUGCAGUUGUAGAGUCUCAUUGUAUGCGGCAUGAGUGUGAUUUAAUUGUGACGUGAUGUGACUUGAGUUGUUGUUAAAUUGUGAUAAUAUGGAGUUGUAAUUAUAAAUUGUUAUACUAAUGACGUGUUGUGACAGGUAUUGUCUGGAAGAUGAGAAAUAGUUUUUAUAACUAUUAAUAUGUUGUUGUUAUUGAUUUUUGUUAAUAUAACUGUUCAGGUUAAUUGUUAUUAUAAAUGUAGUCUGAAAGCUGUAACGUGAUAAUUUCGUAUGAUUAAAUUCUAAUAUAUUGUUUAUCAUGCGUUUGUUUAUAUUGGUAGAUAUCUCACCCUUUCUGAAUGAUGUUUCCCUACCAUGGGAAAUUGACAGGUACUCAAGAUAGCGGUGGAAGUUUGAAGUGAUUUUAUGAAGUCUUUAGUUGCUGUUAGUCGAGUUGGUGUCUUGCUCUGAUACGUAGCACUCGGGGGGAUAAAGCGAUUGUUUUAAUUAUUAUUUCUUUUGCUGAAUUUUUAUAUGGUUUUGGUUUAAAUUGUAACUUAAAGUUACCGUGCAAUGAUGCUACGACUUGAACUGAAUAUUUAUGAAGUUUGUUGAUUCCGCUGCGAGUUAAUUAUUGAAUUUAAACAAAGUGAUUUUUAGUAAUGAUUUGAUUAUCGUUUUAAAUUUAUGUGCUAUGUAUCUAUGUGAAGGCAAAUAAGCCGUAACUGUUUUUGAAAUGACGAAUAUGUGAUACCUCAAAUGAACUUGUUUGGAAUUUAUACUCUGAUUUUAUUAUAUUUUUCGGGUAGAAUUUGGGGUGUUACAUUAGUGGUAUCAGAGCCCGGUUGGUCCGUCCGGCCAAGUUGUCUAAUGUUAUUUAUUCCUCUGUACGCGACAAGUGUGUGAAACACUGUCGGUACUUGUUGCUUUCUGGUUGUUGCAGGAAUUAGUUUGAGCGAAGUGGGGGAGAAGCUUUGCUUCUCGGAUGUGGUUCAGUUGCAAGUUCGCAAAGAGGAUUGUUGUCUGGGUGUUUCGAAAACUGAAUUUCGACGAAAGAAUGUGUCUCUCGAGUUAUAAAAAGUUUGGGAGUGAGGAGAUAUGUUAAGAGUUUUUUUGGAAUAUGUUUAAGUUGAAGAAAAAUGAGUUUUGGAGUGGAAAUUCCGUAAGCAAAACGCAGGAAAUUGCUGAAUGUUUUGUGAAACUUCAAAAAUUCAUAACUUGAGUUCUGGACAUCCGAUUUGAGUCCCGUUUGAAGCGUUGGAAAGCUAACGAGAUGAAAUUUAUUUUAAAAAUGGUUCCAUCAUCUUUAAUAGAAUUAUUUGUAACAAGAUGAUGUUGGAAAGAGAUGAAGUUUGCGUUUACGCUUGUCCUUGGGACCAGACUUGUGCGUUGGUGUCGCGCUGAACGUUAGUGUCAGAGUUGAGUGAAUUGAAGGAGCAAUUAAAGGGUUUGUUUAGAAGAAAUUUUAAGAAUUAGGUGUACCAUUUGAGAAGUUUUGGGGAUACCGUAAAGAGUGUCGCCGCAUGGCGUCGAUGUUCGCACUUUCGAAUGGCGUUGGAAUAGUUAACAAGUUAGUAACGGUUAUGUUGAAGAAGUACCAGAAUGGUCGACAUAUGUGUAGUCGAUUUGAGAUGUGUCAAUGGGUUGUUAUGUUUGAUGGUUGGACGUGGAAGUGAAGUUGAAGAUGGGUGUAUCGGAUAAAUUUUCGAGGACGAAAAUAUUCUAAGUGGGGGAGAGUUGUAACACCCGGUAUUUAAUUAAUUAUUUAAUUAAAUACUUUCAAAUUAUUUCGAAUUUAAUUAUUGAAUUUGUGGAGUGUUGAGAAUUAUUGACAUGGGUUUUAUGAUUAAUUAGUUGAUCAAUUAAUUGAUUAAGUUGUAGAAAUAGUAUUGAAGAAAUACUAAAUUUACUAUAUGGACUUAAUUAAGUGAUGGUGGUAGUAAAACGUGGGGUGUGAAUGUUAGGCCCAAUAGGUUUAAUGAAAUUAAGUUAAGAUAAGGAUUAGGCUAAUUAGAAGAGAAAAAGUCUUGGGGAAUUGGUCAUGGGAAGUUGUAGAGAAGAGAGAAAAUAGGAGAGAAAUUCAUUCCCGUUUUUCUUGCAGCAGUCUCACUAAAUCGAAGAUCCCCGAUUCGUUAACCGUUGGAUCGUCGCCACAUUUUGUGGGUAGGUUCGAAACACCUAUAGCUAACUUUUGACCGUUGGGAUCUUCAAAAUAAGGUCUGAGUUGUGAGAUAUGAUCAUCGCACUGUAGCUGCAUAUUUGGGAAAAUUUUCAGCUUUUGAUUCUGAUUAAAAGAGGCAAUGGUUGGGAGCUAAGGCUAGAUGGCUUCGAUCGGUAGAAUUGUAGAACGGACUCCGAAUACAAGGUAAGGGGUGGGGUUCUAACUCUAUAACCGGACUCAUGAUGAAUGAUAUGUGGGGGUUAAAUUCGUAGGAAAUUAUUCCUGAUUAUUUGUUGUGAUUCUGUCGUGUUGAUUCGAUGAAAUUAGUUGUUGUUGUGGUGAUAAUUGUUGUUGUUUUAUGCGAAGUUGAAGGAUGUUUCAGUGACGAUGUAUACCUCUAUUUAUUAGUAUAGCGACGAUAUAGGCUUAUGCCUUGUGACGAUGAUGUUGUUUGUUGUGUGUGUUUGUUGCAUUCAUAUACAUAUGCAUUUUUGGCGACGGCCUGGAUUGGCAAAUUAGUGACGAAGGCUUAUGCCUUGAUGCCUCUGUUUAACUGGCAAUUGGCGAUGGGGGCUGAAGCCCUGGGUACCACAUGCAUGUGCAGUUGUAGAGUCUCAUUGUAUGCGGCAUGAGUGUGAUUUAAUUGUGACGUGAUGUGACUUGAGUUGUUGUUAAAUUGUGAUAAUAUGGAGUUGUAAUUAUAAAUUGUUAUACUAAUGACGUGUUGUGACAGGUAUUGUCUGGAAGAUGAGAAAUAGUUUUUAUAACUAUUAAUAUGUUGUUGUUAUUGAUUUUUGUUAAUAUAACUGUUCAGGUUAAUUGUUAUUAUAAAUGUAGUCUGAAAGCUGUAACGUGAUAAUUUCGUAUGAUUAAAUUCUAAUAUAUUGUUUAUCAUGCGUUUGUUUAUAUUGGUAGAUAUCUCACCCUUUCUGAAUGAUGUUUCCCUACCAUGGGAAAUUGACAGGUACUCAAGAUAGCGGUGGAAGUUUGAAGUGAUUUUAUGAAGUCUUUAGUUGCUGUUAGUCGAGUUGGUGUCUUGCUCUGAUACGUAGCACUCGGGGGGAUAAAGCGAUUGUUUUAAUUAUUAUUUCUUUUGCUGAAUUUUUAUAUGGUUUUGGUUUAAAUUGUAACUUAAAGUUACCGUGCAAUGAUGCUACGACUUGAACUGAAUAUUUAUGAAGUUUGUUGAUUCCGCUGCGAGUUAAUUAUUGAAUUUAAACAAAGUGAUUUUUAGUAAUGAUUUGAUUAUCGUUUUAAAUUUAUGUGCUAUGUAUCUAUGUGAAGGCAAAUAAGCCGUAACUGUUUUUGAAAUGACGAAUAUGUGAUACCUCAAAUGAACUUGUUUGGAAUUUAUACUCUGAUUUUAUUAUAUUUUUCGGGUAGAAUUUGGGGUGUUACAUUAGUGGUAUCAGAGCCUGGUUGGUCCGUCCGGCCAAGUUGUCUAAUGUUAUUUAUUCCUCUGUACGCGACAAGUGUGUGAAACACUGUCGGUACUUGUUGCUUUCUGGUUGUUGCAGGAAUUAGUUUGAGCGAAGUGGGGGAGAAGCUUUGCUUCUCGGAUGUGGUUCAGUUGCAAGUUCGCAAAGAGGAUUGUUGUCUGGGUGUUUCGAAAACUGAAUUUCGACGAAAGAAUGUGUCUCUCGAGUUAUAAAAAGUUUGGGAGUGAGGAGAUAUGUUAAGAGUUUUUUUGGAAUAUGUUUAAGUUGAAGAAAAAUGAGUUUUGGAGUGGAAAUUCCGUAAGCAAAACGCAGGAAAUUGCUGAAUGUUUUGUGAAACUUCAAAAAUUCAUAACUUGAGUUCUGGACAUCCGAUUUGAGUCCCGUUUGAAGCGUUGGAAAGCUAACGAGAUGAAAUUUAUUUUAAAAAUGGUUCCAUCAUCUUUAAUAGAAUUAUUUGUAACAAGAUGAUGUUGGAAAGAGAUGAAGUUUGCGUUUACGCUUGUCCUUGGGACCAGACUUGUGCGUUGGUGUCGCGCUGAACGUUAGUGUCAGAGUUGAGUGAAUUGAAGGAGCAAUUAAAGGGUUUGUUUAGAAGAAAUUUUAAGAAUUAGGUGUACCAUUUGAGAAGUUUUGGGGAUACCGUAAAGAGUGUCGCCGCAUGGCGUCGAUGUUCGCACUUUCGAAUGGCGUUGGAAUAGUUAACAAGUUAGUAACGGUUAUGUUGAAGAAGUACCAGAAUGGUCGACAUAUGUGUAGUCGAUUUGAGAUGUGUCAAUGGGUUGUUAUGUUUGAUGGUUGGACGUGGAAGUGAAGUUGAAGAUGGGUGUAUCGGAUAAAUUUUCGAGGACGAAAAUAUUCUAAGUGGGGGAGAGUUGUAACACCCGGUAUUUAAUUAAUUAUUUAAUUAAAUACUUUCAAAUUAUUUCGAAUUUAAUUAUUGAAUUUGUGGAGUGUUGAGAAUUAUUGACAUGGGUUUUAUGAUUAAUUAGUUGAUCAAUUAAUUGAUUAAGUUGUAGAAAUAGUAUUGAAGAAAUACUAAAUUUACUAUAUGGACUUAAUUAAGUGAUGGUGGUAGUAAAACGUGGGGUGUGAAUGUUAGGCCCAAUAGGUUUAAUGAAAUUAAGUUAAGAUAAGGAUUAGGCUAAUUAGAAGAGAAAAAGUCUUGGGGAAUUGGUCAUGGGAAGUUGUAGAGAAGAGAGAAAAUAGGAGAGAAAUUCAUUCCCGUUUUUCUUGCAGCAGUCUCACUAAAUCGAAGAUCCCCGAUUCGUUAACCGUUGGAUCGUCGCCACAUUUUGUGGGUAGGUUCGAAACACCUAUAGCUAACUUUUGACCGUUGGGAUCUUCAAAAUAAGGUCUGAGUUGUGAGAUAUGAUCAUCGCACUGUAGCUGCAUAUUUGGGAAAAUUUUCAGCUUUUGAUUCUGAUUAAAAGAGGCAAUGGUUGGGAGCUAAGGCUAGAUGGCUUCGAUCGGUAGAAUUGUAGAACGGACUCCGAAUACAAGGUAAGGGGUGGGGUUCUAACUCUAUAACCGGACUCAUGAUGAAUGAUAUGUGGGGGUUAAAUUCGUAGGAAAUUAUUCCUGAUUAUUUGUUGUGAUUCUGUCGUGUUGAUUCGAUGAAAUUAGUUGUUGUUGUGGUGAUAAUUGUUGUUGUUUUAUGCGAAGUUGAAGGAUGUUUCAGUGACGAUGUAUACCUCUAUUUAUUAGUAUAGCGACGAUAUAGGCUUAUGCCUUGUGACGAUGAUGUUGUUUGUUGUGUGUGUUUGUUGCAUUCAUAUACAUAUGCAUUUUUGGCGACGGCCUGGAUUGGCAAAUUAGUGACGAAGGCUUAUGCCUUGAUGCCUCUGUUUAACUGGCAAUUGGCGAUGGGGGCUGAAGCCCUGGGUACCACAUGCAUGUGCAGUUGUAGAGUCUCAUUGUAUGCGGCAUGAGUGUGAUUUAAUUGUGACGUGAUGUGACUUGAGUUGUUGUUAAAUUGUGAUAAUAUGGAGUUGUAAUUAUAAAUUGUUAUACUAAUGACGUGUUGUGACAGGUAUUGUCUGGAAGAUGAGAAAUAGUUUUUAUAACUAUUAAUAUGUUGUUGUUAUUGAUUUUUGUUAAUAUAACUGUUCAGGUUAAUUGUUAUUAUAAAUGUAGUCUGAAAGCUGUAACGUGAUAAUUUCGUAUGAUUAAAUUCUAAUAUAUUGUUUAUCAUGCGUUUGUUUAUAUUGGUAGAUAUCUCACCCUUUCUGAAUGAUGUUUCCCUACCAUGGGAAAUUGACAGGUACUCAAGAUAGCGGUGGAAGUUUGAAGUGAUUUUAUGAAGUCUUUAGUUGCUGUUAGUCGAGUUGGUGUCUUGCUCUGAUACGUAGCACUCGGGGGGAUAAAGCGAUUGUUUUAAUUAUUAUUUCUUUUGCUGAAUUUUUAUAUGGUUUUGGUUUAAAUUGUAACUUAAAGUUACCGUGCAAUGAUGCUACGACUUGAACUGAAUAUUUAUGAAGUUUGUUGAUUCCGCUGCGAGUUAAUUAUUGAAUUUAAACAAAGUGAUUUUUAGUAAUGAUUUGAUUAUCGUUUUAAAUUUAUGUGCUAUGUAUCUAUGUGAAGGCAAAUAAGCCGUAACUGUUUUUGAAAUGACGAAUAUGUGAUACCUCAAAUGAACUUGUUUGGAAUUUAUACUCUGAUUUUAUUAUAUUUUUCGGGUAGAAUUUGGGGUGUUACAUUAGUGGUAUCAGAGCCUGGUUGGUCCGUCCGGCCAAGUUGUCUAAUGUUAUUUAUUCCUCUGUACGCGACAAGUGUGUGAAACACUGUCGGUACUUGUUGCUUUCUGGUUGUUGCAGGAAUUAGUUUGAGCGAAGUGGGGGAGAAGCUUUGCUUCUCGGAUGUGGUUCAGUUGCAAGUUCGCAAAGAGGAUUGUUGUCUGGGUGUUUCGAAAACUGAAUUUCGACGAAAGAAUGUGUCUCUCGAGUUAUAAAAAGUUUGGGAGUGAGGAGAUAUGUUAAGAGUUUUUUUGGAAUAUGUUUAAGUUGAAGAAAAAUGAGUUUUGGAGUGGAAAUUCCGUAAGCAAAACGCAGGAAAUUGCUGAAUGUUUUGUGAAACUUCAAAAAUUCAUAACUUGAGUUCUGGACAUCCGAUUUGAGUCCCGUUUGAAGCGUUGGAAAGCUAACGAGAUGAAAUUUAUUUUAAAAAUGGUUCCAUCAUCUUUAAUAGAAUUAUUUGUAACAAGAUGAUGUUGGAAAGAGAUGAAGUUUGCGUUUACGCUUGUCCUUGGGACCAGACUUGUGCGUUGGUGUCGCGCUGAACGUUAGUGUCAGAGUUGAGUGAAUUGAAGGAGCAAUUAAAGGGUUUGUUUAGAAGAAAUUUUAAGAAUUAGGUGUACCAUUUGAGAAGUUUUGGGGAUACCGUAAAGAGUGUCGCCGCAUGGCGUCGAUGUUCGCACUUUCGAAUGGCGUUGGAAUAGUUAACAAGUUAGUAACGGUUAUGUUGAAGAAGUACCAGAAUGGUCGACAUAUGUGUAGUCGAUUUGAGAUGUGUCAAUGGGUUGUUAUGUUUGAUGGUUGGACGUGGAAGUGAAGUUGAAGAUGGGUGUAUCGGAUAAAUUUUCGAGGACGAAAAUAUUCUAAGUGGGGGAGAGUUGUAACACCCGGUAUUUAAUUAAUUAUUUAAUUAAAUACUUUCAAAUUAUUUCGAAUUUAAUUAUUGAAUUUGUGGAGUGUUGAGAAUUAUUGACAUGGGUUUUAUGAUUAAUUAGUUGAUCAAUUAAUUGAUUAAGUUGUAGAAAUAGUAUUGAAGAAAUACUAAAUUUACUAUAUGGACUUAAUUAAGUGAUGGUGGUAGUAAAACGUGGGGUGUGAAUGUUAGGCCCAAUAGGUUUAAUGAAAUUAAGUUAAGAUAAGGAUUAGGCUAAUUAGAAGAGAAAAAGUCUUGGGGAAUUGGUCAUGGGAAGUUGUAGAGAAGAGAGAAAAUAGGAGAGAAAUUCAUUCCCGUUUUUCUUGCAGCAGUCUCACUAAAUCGAAGAUCCCCGAUUCGUUAACCGUUGGAUCGUCGCCACAUUUUGUGGGUAGGUUCGAAACACCUAUAGCUAACUUUUGACCGUUGGGAUCUUCAAAAUAAGGUCUGAGUUGUGAGAUAUGAUCAUCGCACUGUAGCUGCAUAUUUGGGAAAAUUUUCAGCUUUUGAUUCUGAUUAAAAGAGGCAAUGGUUGGGAGCUAAGGCUAGAUGGCUUCGAUCGGUAGAAUUGUAGAACGGACUCCGAAUACAAGGUAAGGGGUGGGGUUCUAACUCUAUAACCGGACUCAUGAUGAAUGAUAUGUGGGGGUUAAAUUCGUAGGAAAUUAUUCCUGAUUAUUUGUUGUGAUUCUGUCGUGUUGAUUCGAUGAAAUUAGUUGUUGUUGUGGUGAUAAUUGUUGUUGUUUUAUGCGAAGUUGAAGGAUGUUUCAGUGACGAUGUAUACCUCUAUUUAUUAGUAUAGCGACGAUAUAGGCUUAUGCCUUGUGACGAUGAUGUUGUUUGUUGUGUGUGUUUGUUGCAUUCAUAUACAUAUGCAUUUUUGGCGACGGCCUGGAUUGGCAAAUUAGUGACGAAGGCUUAUGCCUUGAUGCCUCUGUUUAACUGGCAAUUGGCGAUGGGGGCUGAAGCCCUGGGUACCACAUGCAUGUGCAGUUGUAGAGUCUCAUUGUAUGCGGCAUGAGUGUGAUUUAAUUGUGACGUGAUGUGACUUGAGUUGUUGUUAAAUUGUGAUAAUAUGGAGUUGUAAUUAUAAAUUGUUAUACUAAUGACGUGUUGUGACAGGUAUUGUCUGGAAGAUGAGAAAUAGUUUUUAUAACUAUUAAUAUGUUGUUGUUAUUGAUUUUUGUUAAUAUAACUGUUCAGGUUAAUUGUUAUUAUAAAUGUAGUCUGAAAGCUGUAACGUGAUAAUUUCGUAUGAUUAAAUUCUAAUAUAUUGUUUAUCAUGCGUUUGUUUAUAUUGGUAGAUAUCUCACCCUUUCUGAAUGAUGUUUCCCUACCAUGGGAAAUUGACAGGUACUCAAGAUAGCGGUGGAAGUUUGAAGUGAUUUUAUGAAGUCUUUAGUUGCUGUUAGUCGAGUUGGUGUCUUGCUCUGAUACGUAGCACUCGGGGGGAUAAAGCGAUUGUUUUAAUUAUUAUUUCUUUUGCUGAAUUUUUAUAUGGUUUUGGUUUAAAUUGUAACUUAAAGUUACCGUGCAAUGAUGCUACGACUUGAACUGAAUAUUUAUGAAGUUUGUUGAUUCCGCUGCGAGUUAAUUAUUGAAUUUAAACAAAGUGAUUUUUAGUAAUGAUUUGAUUAUCGUUUUAAAUUUAUGUGCUAUGUAUCUAUGUGAAGGCAAAUAAGCCGUAACUGUUUUUGAAAUGACGAAUAUGUGAUACCUCAAAUGAACUUGUUUGGAAUUUAUACUCUGAUUUUAUUAUAUUUUUCGGGUAGAAUUUGGGGUGUUACAUUAGUGGUAUCAGAGCCUGGUUGGUCCGUCCGGCCAAGUUGUCUAAUGUUAUUUAUUCCUCUGUACGCGACAAGUGUGUGAAACACUGUCGGUACUUGUUGCUUUCUGGUUGUUGCAGGAAUUAGUUUGAGCGAAGUGGGGGAGAAGCUUUGCUUCUCGGAUGUGGUUCAGUUGCAAGUUCGCAAAGAGGAUUGUUGUCUGGGUGUUUCGAAAACUGAAUUUCGACGAAAGAAUGUGUCUCUCGAGUUAUAAAAAGUUUGGGAGUGAGGAGAUAUGUUAAGAGUUUUUUUGGAAUAUGUUUAAGUUGAAGAAAAAUGAGUUUUGGAGUGGAAAUUCCGUAAGCAAAACGCAGGAAAUUGCUGAAUGUUUUGUGAAACUUCAAAAAUUCAUAACUUGAGUUCUGGACAUCCGAUUUGAGUCCCGUUUGAAGCGUUGGAAAGCUAACGAGAUGAAAUUUAUUUUAAAAAUGGUUCCAUCAUCUUUAAUAGAAUUAUUUGUAACAAGAUGAUGUUGGAAAGAGAUGAAGUUUGCGUUUACGCUUGUCCUUGGGACCAGACUUGUGCGUUGGUGUCGCGCUGAACGUUAGUGUCAGAGUUGAGUGAAUUGAAGGAGCAAUUAAAGGGUUUGUUUAGAAGAAAUUUUAAGAAUUAGGUGUACCAUUUGAGAAGUUUUGGGGAUACCGUAAAGAGUGUCGCCGCAUGGCGUCGAUGUUCGCACUUUCGAAUGGCGUUGGAAUAGUUAACAAGUUAGUAACGGUUAUGUUGAAGAAGUACCAGAAUGGUCGACAUAUGUGUAGUCGAUUUGAGAUGUGUCAAUGGGUUGUUAUGUUUGAUGGUUGGACGUGGAAGUGAAGUUGAAGAUGGGUGUAUCGGAUAAAUUUUCGAGGACGAAAAUAUUCUAAGUGGGGGAGAGUUGUAACACCCGGUAUUUAAUUAAUUAUUUAAUUAAAUACUUUCAAAUUAUUUCGAAUUUAAUUAUUGAAUUUGUGGAGUGUUGAGAAUUAUUGACAUGGGUUUUAUGAUUAAUUAGUUGAUCAAUUAAUUGAUUAAGUUGUAGAAAUAGUAUUGAAGAAAUACUAAAUUUACUAUAUGGACUUAAUUAAGUGAUGGUGGUAGUAAAACGUGGGGUGUGAAUGUUAGGCCCAAUAGGUUUAAUGAAAUUAAGUUAAGAUAAGGAUUAGGCUAAUUAGAAGAGAAAAAGUCUUGGGGAAUUGGUCAUGGGAAGUUGUAGAGAAGAGAGAAAAUAGGAGAGAAAUUCAUUCCCGUUUUUCUUGCAGCAGUCUCACUAAAUCGAAGAUCCCCGAUUCGUUAACCGUUGGAUCGUCGCCACAUUUUGUGGGUAGGUUCGAAACACCUAUAGCUAACUUUUGACCGUUGGGAUCUUCAAAAUAAGGUCUGAGUUGUGAGAUAUGAUCAUCGCACUGUAGCUGCAUAUUUGGGAAAAUUUUCAGCUUUUGAUUCUGAUUAAAAGAGGCAAUGGUUGGGAGCUAAGGCUAGAUGGCUUCGAUCGGUAGAAUUGUAGAACGGACUCCGAAUACAAGGUAAGGGGUGGGGUUCUAACUCUAUAACCGGACUCAUGAUGAAUGAUAUGUGGGGGUUAAAUUCGUAGGAAAUUAUUCCUGAUUAUUUGUUGUGAUUCUGUCGUGUUGAUUCGAUGAAAUUAGUUGUUGUUGUGGUGAUAAUUGUUGUUGUUUUAUGCGAAGUUGAAGGAUGUUUCAGUGACGAUGUAUACCUCUAUUUAUUAGUAUAGCGACGAUAUAGGCUUAUGCCUUGUGACGAUGAUGUUGUUUGUUGUGUGUGUUUGUUGCAUUCAUAUACAUAUGCAUUUUUGGCGACGGCCUGGAUUGGCAAAUUAGUGACGAAGGCUUAUGCCUUGAUGCCUCUGUUUAACUGGCAAUUGGCGAUGGGGGCUGAAGCCCUGGGUACCACAUGCAUGUGCAGUUGUAGAGUCUCAUUGUAUGCGGCAUGAGUGUGAUUUAAUUGUGACGUGAUGUGACUUGAGUUGUUGUUAAAUUGUGAUAAUAUGGAGUUGUAAUUAUAAAUUGUUAUACUAAUGACGUGUUGUGACAGGUAUUGUCUGGAAGAUGAGAAAUAGUUUUUAUAACUAUUAAUAUGUUGUUGUUAUUGAUUUUUGUUAAUAUAACUGUUCAGGUUAAUUGUUAUUAUAAAUGUAGUCUGAAAGCUGUAACGUGAUAAUUUCGUAUGAUUAAAUUCUAAUAUAUUGUUUAUCAUGCGUUUGUUUAUAUUGGUAGAUAUCUCACCCUUUCUGAAUGAUGUUUCCCUACCAUGGGAAAUUGACAGGUACUCAAGAUAGCGGUGGAAGUUUGAAGUGAUUUUAUGAAGUCUUUAGUUGCUGUUAGUCGAGUUGGUGUCUUGCUCUGAUACGUAGCACUCGGGGGGAUAAAGCGAUUGUUUUAAUUAUUAUUUCUUUUGCUGAAUUUUUAUAUGGUUUUGGUUUAAAUUGUAACUUAAAGUUACCGUGCAAUGAUGCUACGACUUGAACUGAAUAUUUAUGAAGUUUGUUGAUUCCGCUGCGAGUUAAUUAUUGAAUUUAAACAAAGUGAUUUUUAGUAAUGAUUUGAUUAUCGUUUUAAAUUUAUGUGCUAUGUAUCUAUGUGAAGGCAAAUAAGCCGUAACUGUUUUUGAAAUGACGAAUAUGUGAUACCUCAAAUGAACUUGUUUGGAAUUUAUACUCUGAUUUUAUUAUAUUUUUCGGGUAGAAUUUGGGGUGUUACAUUAGUGGUAUCAGAGCCUGGUUGGUCCGUCCGGCCAAGUUGUCUAAUGUUAUUUAUUCCUCUGUACGCGACAAGUGUGUGAAACACUGUCGGUACUUGUUGCUUUCUGGUUGUUGCAGGAAUUAGUUUGAGCGAAGUGGGGGAGAAGCUUUGCUUCUCGGAUGUGGUUCAGUUGCAAGUUCGCAAAGAGGAUUGUUGUCUGGGUGUUUCGAAAACUGAAUUUCGACGAAAGAAUGUGUCUCUCGAGUUAUAAAAAGUUUGGGAGUGAGGAGAUAUGUUAAGAGUUUUUUUGGAAUAUGUUUAAGUUGAAGAAAAAUGAGUUUUGGAGUGGAAAUUCCGUAAGCAAAACGCAGGAAAUUGCUGAAUGUUUUGUGAAACUUCAAAAAUUCAUAACUUGAGUUCUGGACAUCCGAUUUGAGUCCCGUUUGAAGCGUUGGAAAGCUAACGAGAUGAAAUUUAUUUUAAAAAUGGUUCCAUCAUCUUUAAUAGAAUUAUUUGUAACAAGAUGAUGUUGGAAAGAGAUGAAGUUUGCGUUUACGCUUGUCCUUGGGACCAGACUUGUGCGUUGGUGUCGCGCUGAACGUUAGUGUCAGAGUUGAGUGAAUUGAAGGAGCAAUUAAAGGGUUUGUUUAGAAGAAAUUUUAAGAAUUAGGUGUACCAUUUGAGAAGUUUUGGGGAUACCGUAAAGAGUGUCGCCGCAUGGCGUCGAUGUUCGCACUUUCGAAUGGCGUUGGAAUAGUUAACAAGUUAGUAACGGUUAUGUUGAAGAAGUACCAGAAUGGUCGACAUAUGUGUAGUCGAUUUGAGAUGUGUCAAUGGGUUGUUAUGUUUGAUGGUUGGACGUGGAAGUGAAGUUGAAGAUGGGUGUAUCGGAUAAAUUUUCGAGGACGAAAAUAUUCUAAGUGGGGGAGAGUUGUAACACCCGGUAUUUAAUUAAUUAUUUAAUUAAAUACUUUCAAAUUAUUUCGAAUUUAAUUAUUGAAUUUGUGGAGUGUUGAGAAUUAUUGACAUGGGUUUUAUGAUUAAUUAGUUGAUCAAUUAAUUGAUUAAGUUGUAGAAAUAGUAUUGAAGAAAUACUAAAUUUACUAUAUGGACUUAAUUAAGUGAUGGUGGUAGUAAAACGUGGGGUGUGAAUGUUAGGCCCAAUAGGUUUAAUGAAAUUAAGUUAAGAUAAGGAUUAGGCUAAUUAGAAGAGAAAAAGUCUUGGGGAAUUGGUCAUGGGAAGUUGUAGAGAAGAGAGAAAAUAGGAGAGAAAUUCAUUCCCGUUUUUCUUGCAGCAGUCUCACUAAAUCGAAGAUCCCCGAUUCGUUAACCGUUGGAUCGUCGCCACAUUUUGUGGGUAGGUUCGAAACACCUAUAGCUAACUUUUGACCGUUGGGAUCUUCAAAAUAAGGUCUGAGUUGUGAGAUAUGAUCAUCGCACUGUAGCUGCAUAUUUGGGAAAAUUUUCAGCUUUUGAUUCUGAUUAAAAGAGGCAAUGGUUGGGAGCUAAGGCUAGAUGGCUUCGAUCGGUAGAAUUGUAGAACGGACUCCGAAUACAAGGUAAGGGGUGGGGUUCUAACUCUAUAACCGGACUCAUGAUGAAUGAUAUGUGGGGGUUAAAUUCGUAGGAAAUUAUUCCUGAUUAUUUGUUGUGAUUCUGUCGUGUUGAUUCGAUGAAAUUAGUUGUUGUUGUGGUGAUAAUUGUUGUUGUUUUAUGCGAAGUUGAAGGAUGUUUCAGUGACGAUGUAUACCUCUAUUUAUUAGUAUAGCGACGAUAUAGGCUUAUGCCUUGUGACGAUGAUGUUGUUUGUUGUGUGUGUUUGUUGCAUUCAUAUACAUAUGCAUUUUUGGCGACGGCCUGGAUUGGCAAAUUAGUGACGAAGGCUUAUGCCUUGAUGCCUCUGUUUAACUGGCAAUUGGCGAUGGGGGCUGAAGCCCUGGGUACCACAUGCAUGUGCAGUUGUAGAGUCUCAUUGUAUGCGGCAUGAGUGUGAUUUAAUUGUGACGUGAUGUGACUUGAGUUGUUGUUAAAUUGUGAUAAUAUGGAGUUGUAAUUAUAAAUUGUUAUACUAAUGACGUGUUGUGACAGGUAUUGUCUGGAAGAUGAGAAAUAGUUUUUAUAACUAUUAAUAUGUUGUUGUUAUUGAUUUUUGUUAAUAUAACUGUUCAGGUUAAUUGUUAUUAUAAAUGUAGUCUGAAAGCUGUAACGUGAUAAUUUCGUAUGAUUAAAUUCUAAUAUAUUGUUUAUCAUGCGUUUGUUUAUAUUGGUAGAUAUCUCACCCUUUCUGAAUGAUGUUUCCCUACCAUGGGAAAUUGACAGGUACUCAAGAUAGCGGUGGAAGUUUGAAGUGAUUUUAUGAAGUCUUUAGUUGCUGUUAGUCGAGUUGGUGUCUUGCUCUGAUACGUAGCACUCGGGGGGAUAAAGCGAUUGUUUUAAUUAUUAUUUCUUUUGCUGAAUUUUUAUAUGGUUUUGGUUUAAAUUGUAACUUAAAGUUACCGUGCAAUGAUGCUACGACUUGAACUGAAUAUUUAUGAAGUUUGUUGAUUCCGCUGCGAGUUAAUUAUUGAAUUUAAACAAAGUGAUUUUUAGUAAUGAUUUGAUUAUCGUUUUAAAUUUAUGUGCUAUGUAUCUAUGUGAAGGCAAAUAAGCCGUAACUGUUUUUGAAAUGACGAAUAUGUGAUACCUCAAAUGAACUUGUUUGGAAUUUAUACUCUGAUUUUAUUAUAUUUUUCGGGUAGAAUUUGGGGUGUUACAUUAGUGGUAUCAGAGCCUGGUUGGUCCGUCCGGCCAAGUUGUCUAAUGUUAUUUAUUCCUCUGUACGCGACAAGUGUGUGAAACACUGUCGGUACUUGUUGCUUUCUGGUUGUUGCAGGAAUUAGUUUGAGCGAAGUGGGGGAGAAGCUUUGCUUCUCGGAUGUGGUUCAGUUGCAAGUUCGCAAAGAGGAUUGUUGUCUGGGUGUUUCGAAAACUGAAUUUCGACGAAAGAAUGUGUCUCUCGAGUUAUAAAAAGUUUGGGAGUGAGGAGAUAUGUUAAGAGUUUUUUUGGAAUAUGUUUAAGUUGAAGAAAAAUGAGUUUUGGAGUGGAAAUUCCGUAAGCAAAACGCAGGAAAUUGCUGAAUGUUUUGUGAAACUUCAAAAAUUCAUAACUUGAGUUCUGGACAUCCGAUUUGAGUCCCGUUUGAAGCGUUGGAAAGCUAACGAGAUGAAAUUUAUUUUAAAAAUGGUUCCAUCAUCUUUAAUAGAAUUAUUUGUAACAAGAUGAUGUUGGAAAGAGAUGAAGUUUGCGUUUACGCUUGUCCUUGGGACCAGACUUGUGCGUUGGUGUCGCGCUGAACGUUAGUGUCAGAGUUGAGUGAAUUGAAGGAGCAAUUAAAGGGUUUGUUUAGAAGAAAUUUUAAGAAUUAGGUGUACCAUUUGAGAAGUUUUGGGGAUACCGUAAAGAGUGUCGCCGCAUGGCGUCGAUGUUCGCACUUUCGAAUGGCGUUGGAAUAGUUAACAAGUUAGUAACGGUUAUGUUGAAGAAGUACCAGAAUGGUCGACAUAUGUGUAGUCGAUUUGAGAUGUGUCAAUGGGUUGUUAUGUUUGAUGGUUGGACGUGGAAGUGAAGUUGAAGAUGGGUGUAUCGGAUAAAUUUUCGAGGACGAAAAUAUUCUAAGUGGGGGAGAGUUGUAACACCCGGUAUUUAAUUAAUUAUUUAAUUAAAUACUUUCAAAUUAUUUCGAAUUUAAUUAUUGAAUUUGUGGAGUGUUGAGAAUUAUUGACAUGGGUUUUAUGAUUAAUUAGUUGAUCAAUUAAUUGAUUAAGUUGUAGAAAUAGUAUUGAAGAAAUACUAAAUUUACUAUAUGGACUUAAUUAAGUGAUGGUGGUAGUAAAACGUGGGGUGUGAAUGUUAGGCCCAAUAGGUUUAAUGAAAUUAAGUUAAGAUAAGGAUUAGGCUAAUUAGAAGAGAAAAAGUCUUGGGGAAUUGGUCAUGGGAAGUUGUAGAGAAGAGAGAAAAUAGGAGAGAAAUUCAUUCCCGUUUUUCUUGCAGCAGUCUCACUAAAUCGAAGAUCCCCGAUUCGUUAACCGUUGGAUCGUCGCCACAUUUUGUGGGUAGGUUCGAAACACCUAUAGCUAACUUUUGACCGUUGGGAUCUUCAAAAUAAGGUCUGAGUUGUGAGAUAUGAUCAUCGCACUGUAGCUGCAUAUUUGGGAAAAUUUUCAGCUUUUGAUUCUGAUUAAAAGAGGCAAUGGUUGGGAGCUAAGGCUAGAUGGCUUCGAUCGGUAGAAUUGUAGAACGGACUCCGAAUACAAGGUAAGGGGUGGGGUUCUAACUCUAUAACCGGACUCAUGAUGAAUGAUAUGUGGGGGUUAAAUUCGUAGGAAAUUAUUCCUGAUUAUUUGUUGUGAUUCUGUCGUGUUGAUUCGAUGAAAUUAGUUGUUGUUGUGGUGAUAAUUGUUGUUGUUUUAUGCGAAGUUGAAGGAUGUUUCAGUGACGAUGUAUACCUCUAUUUAUUAGUAUAGCGACGAUAUAGGCUUAUGCCUUGUGACGAUGAUGUUGUUUGUUGUGUGUGUUUGUUGCAUUCAUAUACAUAUGCAUUUUUGGCGACGGCCUGGAUUGGCAAAUUAGUGACGAAGGCUUAUGCCUUGAUGCCUCUGUUUAACUGGCAAUUGGCGAUGGGGGCUGAAGCCCUGGGUACCACAUGCAUGUGCAGUUGUAGAGUCUCAUUGUAUGCGGCAUGAGUGUGAUUUAAUUGUGACGUGAUGUGACUUGAGUUGUUGUUAAAUUGUGAUAAUAUGGAGUUGUAAUUAUAAAUUGUUAUACUAAUGACGUGUUGUGACAGGUAUUGUCUGGAAGAUGAGAAAUAGUUUUUAUAACUAUUAAUAUGUUGUUGUUAUUGAUUUUUGUUAAUAUAACUGUUCAGGUUAAUUGUUAUUAUAAAUGUAGUCUGAAAGCUGUAACGUGAUAAUUUCGUAUGAUUAAAUUCUAAUAUAUUGUUUAUCAUGCGUUUGUUUAUAUUGGUAGAUAUCUCACCCUUUCUGAAUGAUGUUUCCCUACCAUGGGAAAUUGACAGGUACUCAAGAUAGCGGUGGAAGUUUGAAGUGAUUUUAUGAAGUCUUUAGUUGCUGUUAGUCGAGUUGGUGUCUUGCUCUGAUACGUAGCACUCGGGGGGAUAAAGCGAUUGUUUUAAUUAUUAUUUCUUUUGCUGAAUUUUUAUAUGGUUUUGGUUUAAAUUGUAACUUAAAGUUACCGUGCAAUGAUGCUACGACUUGAACUGAAUAUUUAUGAAGUUUGUUGAUUCCGCUGCGAGUUAAUUAUUGAAUUUAAACAAAGUGAUUUUUAGUAAUGAUUUGAUUAUCGUUUUAAAUUUAUGUGCUAUGUAUCUAUGUGAAGGCAAAUAAGCCGUAACUGUUUUUGAAAUGACGAAUAUGUGAUACCUCAAAUGAACUUGUUUGGAAUUUAUACUCUGAUUUUAUUAUAUUUUUCGGGUAGAAUUUGGGGUGUUACAUUAGUGGUAUCAGAGCCUGGUUGGUCCGUCCGGCCAAGUUGUCUAAUGUUAUUUAUUCCUCUGUACGCGACAAGUGUGUGAAACACUGUCGGUACUUGUUGCUUUCUGGUUGUUGCAGGAAUUAGUUUGAGCGAAGUGGGGGAGAAGCUUUGCUUCUCGGAUGUGGUUCAGUUGCAAGUUCGCAAAGAGGAUUGUUGUCUGGGUGUUUCGAAAACUGAAUUUCGACGAAAGAAUGUGUCUCUCGAGUUAUAAAAAGUUUGGGAGUGAGGAGAUAUGUUAAGAGUUUUUUUGGAAUAUGUUUAAGUUGAAGAAAAAUGAGUUUUGGAGUGGAAAUUCCGUAAGCAAAACGCAGGAAAUUGCUGAAUGUUUUGUGAAACUUCAAAAAUUCAUAACUUGAGUUCUGGACAUCCGAUUUGAGUCCCGUUUGAAGCGUUGGAAAGCUAACGAGAUGAAAUUUAUUUUAAAAAUGGUUCCAUCAUCUUUAAUAGAAUUAUUUGUAACAAGAUGAUGUUGGAAAGAGAUGAAGUUUGCGUUUACGCUUGUCCUUGGGACCAGACUUGUGCGUUGGUGUCGCGCUGAACGUUAGUGUCAGAGUUGAGUGAAUUGAAGGAGCAAUUAAAGGGUUUGUUUAGAAGAAAUUUUAAGAAUUAGGUGUACCAUUUGAGAAGUUUUGGGGAUACCGUAAAGAGUGUCGCCGCAUGGCGUCGAUGUUCGCACUUUCGAAUGGCGUUGGAAUAGUUAACAAGUUAGUAACGGUUAUGUUGAAGAAGUACCAGAAUGGUCGACAUAUGUGUAGUCGAUUUGAGAUGUGUCAAUGGGUUGUUAUGUUUGAUGGUUGGACGUGGAAGUGAAGUUGAAGAUGGGUGUAUCGGAUAAAUUUUCGAGGACGAAAAUAUUCUAAGUGGGGGAGAGUUGUAACACCCGGUAUUUAAUUAAUUAUUUAAUUAAAUACUUUCAAAUUAUUUCGAAUUUAAUUAUUGAAUUUGUGGAGUGUUGAGAAUUAUUGACAUGGGUUUUAUGAUUAAUUAGUUGAUCAAUUAAUUGAUUAAGUUGUAGAAAUAGUAUUGAAGAAAUACUAAAUUUACUAUAUGGACUUAAUUAAGUGAUGGUGGUAGUAAAACGUGGGGUGUGAAUGUUAGGCCCAAUAGGUUUAAUGAAAUUAAGUUAAGAUAAGGAUUAGGCUAAUUAGAAGAGAAAAAGUCUUGGGGAAUUGGUCAUGGGAAGUUGUAGAGAAGAGAGAAAAUAGGAGAGAAAUUCAUUCCCGUUUUUCUUGCAGCAGUCUCACUAAAUCGAAGAUCCCCGAUUCGUUAACCGUUGGAUCGUCGCCACAUUUUGUGGGUAGGUUCGAAACACCUAUAGCUAACUUUUGACCGUUGGGAUCUUCAAAAUAAGGUCUGAGUUGUGAGAUAUGAUCAUCGCACUGUAGCUGCAUAUUUGGGAAAAUUUUCAGCUUUUGAUUCUGAUUAAAAGAGGCAAUGGUUGGGAGCUAAGGCUAGAUGGCUUCGAUCGGUAGAAUUGUAGAACGGACUCCGAAUACAAGGUAAGGGGUGGGGUUCUAACUCUAUAACCGGACUCAUGAUGAAUGAUAUGUGGGGGUUAAAUUCGUAGGAAAUUAUUCCUGAUUAUUUGUUGUGAUUCUGUCGUGUUGAUUCGAUGAAAUUAGUUGUUGUUGUGGUGAUAAUUGUUGUUGUUUUAUGCGAAGUUGAAGGAUGUUUCAGUGACGAUGUAUACCUCUAUUUAUUAGUAUAGCGACGAUAUAGGCUUAUGCCUUGUGACGAUGAUGUUGUUUGUUGUGUGUGUUUGUUGCAUUCAUAUACAUAUGCAUUUUUGGCGACGGCCUGGAUUGGCAAAUUAGUGACGAAGGCUUAUGCCUUGAUGCCUCUGUUUAACUGGCAAUUGGCGAUGGGGGCUGAAGCCCUGGGUACCACAUGCAUGUGCAGUUGUAGAGUCUCAUUGUAUGCGGCAUGAGUGUGAUUUAAUUGUGACGUGAUGUGACUUGAGUUGUUGUUAAAUUGUGAUAAUAUGGAGUUGUAAUUAUAAAUUGUUAUACUAAUGACGUGUUGUGACAGGUAUUGUCUGGAAGAUGAGAAAUAGUUUUUAUAACUAUUAAUAUGUUGUUGUUAUUGAUUUUUGUUAAUAUAACUGUUCAGGUUAAUUGUUAUUAUAAAUGUAGUCUGAAAGCUGUAACGUGAUAAUUUCGUAUGAUUAAAUUCUAAUAUAUUGUUUAUCAUGCGUUUGUUUAUAUUGGUAGAUAUCUCACCCUUUCUGAAUGAUGUUUCCCUACCAUGGGAAAUUGACAGGUACUCAAGAUAGCGGUGGAAGUUUGAAGUGAUUUUAUGAAGUCUUUAGUUGCUGUUAGUCGAGUUGGUGUCUUGCUCUGAUACGUAGCACUCGGGGGGAUAAAGCGAUUGUUUUAAUUAUUAUUUCUUUUGCUGAAUUUUUAUAUGGUUUUGGUUUAAAUUGUAACUUAAAGUUACCGUGCAAUGAUGCUACGACUUGAACUGAAUAUUUAUGAAGUUUGUUGAUUCCGCUGCGAGUUAAUUAUUGAAUUUAAACAAAGUGAUUUUUAGUAAUGAUUUGAUUAUCGUUUUAAAUUUAUGUGCUAUGUAUCUAUGUGAAGGCAAAUAAGCCGUAACUGUUUUUGAAAUGACGAAUAUGUGAUACCUCAAAUGAACUUGUUUGGAAUUUAUA